AGAGCGAACGCUGGCGGCAGGCCUAACACAUGCAAGUCGAGCGCCGUAGCAAUACGGAGCGGCAGACGGGAGAGUAACACGUGGGAACGUACCCUUUGGUUCGGAACAACCCAGGGAAACUUGGGCUAAUACCGAAAUAAGCCCUUACGGGGAAAGAUUUAUCGCCGAAGGAUCGGCCCGCGUCUGAUUAGCUAGUUGGUGGGGUAACGGCCCACCAAGGCGACGAUCAGUAGCUGGUCUGAGAGGAUGAUCAGCCUCAUUGGGACUGAGACACGGCCCAAACUCCUACGGGAGGCAGCAGUGGGGAAUAUUGGACAAUGGGCGCAAGCCUGAUCCAGCCAUGCCGCGUGGGUGAUGAAGGCCCUAGGGUUGUAAAGCCCGUUUCGGCGGGGAAGAUAAUGACGGUACCGCAGAAGAAGCCCGGCUAACUUCGCGCCAGCAGCCGC
This 446-nucleotide ribosomal RNA is filed under the name uncultured bacterium. RNAcentral describes it as "SSU rRNA". It matches the Rfam family "Bacterial small subunit ribosomal RNA", at positions 26 to 518 of the family's 1533-position model. The record is from RNAcentral.